GAUACGGGAUCCUCGUAGUAGGCUGGACCAAAAUCCAGCCGAGAGAGGGCAGCCUUUAGAAGCAACAGGUUGGGAAACCAAGAGAAGGCUUCGCCUUUUCUUAUCUUCUUCCCGGCACAAAAAGAGGGAUUAGCAUUAUUGACCCCAUGAGAAAGCACUAACACCUUCCUCGUUGGGGCUCCGCGCACUGGGAAAAGGCUUCCGCGACAGGAAACCAGCUACUAGUUAGGAAGUGAACAUAAGGUAUCAAGAGGUCCCUCACAGUCAGGUGCGAUGCAAUUGCCCCCUAUUAGUCAAGUACCCCUCUUCCUAUUUUGUUUAGGGGUUAAAAUGGCUUGAUGAACCCUUCUGUUCACACGCACCGGCCCCAUUCACUUGCAACUCGUAGAGGCUGUAAGUAAACAGUGCCCCACUAAAUUCAAAGUGACGGUGGGGUUGAAAGACGAGAGUGCCUACCUCCGAGCCGAGAGUGCCCGCCCUUUCUGUCAAGUAGGCUACUUUUUCCGGAACGCAGUCCGGAAUAAGCGUUCCUGUGUAUAUAGAUAUCUUCGAUGCUGUCAUUUUGAAAUGUUCGCUUCCUCUUUCACCUCCCAAAAAGCAAAGUUGGC
Molecule: long non-coding RNA, 608 nt
Filed under: Setaria viridis
Lineage: Eukaryota; Viridiplantae; Streptophyta; Magnoliopsida; Poales; Poaceae
Description: long non-coding RNA (SVIR_LNC010465)
Source: RNAcentral